GUGCCCGUGUGUAUGGUGGCCUUAGUCGAAACAUCAUGUGCAAAUACUGUGUAAGGAGACUUGGUUGUUUCAUUCAUCUUCAUCUCUUCGUGAGGAUAGGCCCUUGAGUAUUUAUGGGAAGUACGCUAUUGGUUAUGGGAGAUGCCAAAGAAGUGUGCUCUGCCUCUGAAUGAUCUCCAAUGGGUGGUGAGUAACCUGGUGGCAAACCAUACAUUGGAAACGUAAAUUGCGUGCCCACAGCGCUAUGUACGGGAGGGUGAGCAUUAUCCUCGGCCUUUGCAGACGAAGUCUCCCCUGUAGUCUUCAUGGCUUUCAAAGCCUCCAAAAUUUGACCGACUUGAUCCUUCAGUUGGCUAAUAUCGGCCUUUAUAGUUUCACGUUCCUCUUCCCAAUCUUCCAUAGCUUUGGAGUUUGCUCGAGUUCUAUAUGGAUGCCAUGGAAGUCUCGCC
RNAcentral lists this long non-coding RNA (449 nucleotides) under Vigna radiata. RNAcentral describes it as "long non-coding RNA (VRAD_LNC013545)". The record is from RNAcentral. Lineage: Eukaryota; Viridiplantae; Streptophyta; Magnoliopsida; Fabales; Fabaceae.